Molecule: ribosomal RNA, 392 nt
Filed under: Lactococcus garvieae
Lineage: Bacteria; Bacillati; Bacillota; Bacilli; Lactobacillales; Streptococcaceae
Description: bacterial SSU rRNA
Rfam family: Bacterial small subunit ribosomal RNA
Source: RNAcentral
AUGAUUAAAGAUAGCUUGCUAUUUUUAUGAAGAGCGGCGAACGGGUGAGUAACGCGUGGGAAAUCUGCCGAGUAGCGGGGGACAACGUUUGGAAACGAACGCUAAUACCGCAUAACAAUGAGAAUCGCAUGAUUCUUAUUUAAAAGAAGCAAUUGCUUCACUACUUGAUGAUCCCGCGUUGUAUUAGCUAGUUGGUAGUGUAAAGGACUACCAAGGCGAUGAUACAUAGCCGACCUGAGAGGGUGAUCGGCCACACUGGGACUGAGACACGGCCCAGACUCCUACGGGAGGCAGCAGUAGGGAAUCUUCGGCAAUGGGGGCAACCCUGACCGAGCAACGCCGCGUGAGUGAAGAAGGUUUUCGGAUCGUAAAACUCUGUUGUUAGAGAAGAA